UUUUUUUUUUCCCUCUAACCUGCCCUGGUUUUGUCAGGAGCAUUUUUAUUUCAUGUGAUUUUUAAGAAUACCAGAAAUUAGUAAUUUUAAGAUGGAUAAUGACUGACUUGUGACGGCAGCUGUGCUAGUAGGGGACUGCAAUCACUGUUAGCGUUUUCCAUUAUUUCGUUACAUUAUUUUGUCAUAUUUCCCUCAAUCCUAAUUUCUCUGAAUUUAUCAGCUUUGGAGUUGAAUUACCACCAGAAUGACACACUUCUCUAACUUACUGUUUCUUCCAUUAAAGAAUUGAAAAAUACCAACUUUUAAGUAAUUGGAUCAAAGAAUAUUGCAUAGAAUUCUGUCAUGUUCGUGAGACCCCUUCUCUACACCAUUUCCCUUCUGAACAAGUCAAAAAUAAUGCAAAAAUCUUUCACCUAAUGAGAAAGGCACAAAAUUUGUUUUCCUUUUUAGCCAUAAGAUAGAUCUUUUCCUAUCACAGCAAGUUUAUUACUAAAGGACUCGCUAAUGCAUGAUAUGGGCAGAGUGCACUGAUACAGGUUCCUUUAAAGAGUGGCUCUGUUUAUAGGCAUUUUAGACAUGAAUAAAUAAAAUUGUAAAGUUCUAUGUCAUCAACAGCAGUUGUAAUUAAAUGCAUUUCUGCCAAUACACAUGUGCAAUUCUGUUGGCUGAAGUCUGUAUCCUCAAAAAUGGACGCAUAUUGACAAUCCCAUUGUAUGACCCCUUUGCCGAGGGAUACUCUUCCCUUGCUUUUAGCAAACAAAGUACUACACUUUUUUUCUUCCCUAACCAUCCAGAGAGAAAAAAAAUGACAAUAUUAACUGCACUAUAAAGGUACUUCUGUUAAGAUAGCCUGGGCCUUUCAUUUGCAGCUUUAGUAAGAGCAUAGAACUGGAAACAGAAAGAGAAAAUAAACUUGCUUUUAGAGAACCUCAGGAAAAACCAGACUCUGGCAUUAUGGACUUUCUGAAAACUGCCUGUGCUUUUAUCCAUCAGGAAAAGAAGCGUUGUAAGGAGGGCCCUGCUGCCAUGCUCUGUGCCCUACAAAACGACUGCCCCAUGAGGUGAGCCCCACAUCACAUGCGCCUGGAUAACACCUUAUUUCCUGUGUAAGCAGUGACCCAAGAGGGUAAAAAGCCACCGUGCUACUCUUUGGCAUUCCUUCUCCUCCAACUUUUUAUCCUUUUAAUUAAGUAAAAAAAAAGUUAUUCUAAUACACAUUUUCCUAAAGCAUUACUGCCAAAUGCUGCACUCGAUCGGAAAUACAGGUAAAACCUUUCAGUGUUCAGUCUCUAAACUGGGGAGGUCUCUGCCAGUUUGGAAAGCCAGUAGGUAACUCAUCUCCAACAAAGAGAAUCUCAGCAGUAGUUCAAGCUAACCCAUUUUACUUUCCACUGAAACAGGAAAGCAGCUGUGACCUUGGCUAAAAACCGGGAACAAACAGCUGGGAACAUCACUUCAACACUACAAGCUCGACUGGAGGGUGCUCGUCUGCCCCUGCCCUUAAAUAAGGUGGCCACCAAGGAACCCAAAGUGACCCCCAGCAGGAUGGGCUGGGUCACCCCAAUAGCAUCUCAGCAGGCUAAUCCACAUUCAAUGCAGAUCAUUAAAUAUGAAACAACAAAAGGAGCUAAGCCAUUAAUAAAGUGCCAAAAAUAUAGGAAAUACUGACAGCAUUUUAUUUGAUUAAUUUUAUAAUAGAGACCAAUGACAACCCUUGGCAGGAUGGAGUGACUUCUGACUUAUGAAUGCUGUCUUUAUCCAGCAAAAUUACACAAUUCAAAUGUAAUAAUGGAGCUUAGAAUUAACAGUUAGUGUUAUAAAAGAAAGAUUUCCUCUAGGGCAAGCUACAGAUAUGCUUUUUAAAAAUCAUUACAGCAUUAAAAACUGGGCAGACGCUAAAGAAUCCUACAGAACUAGUGGAAACCUGAAAAGCAAAACAAAAAUAAACAUAAAAAAACCAGAAGAUCUAAGUUUCAAGGCACUUACGUAUUGCUUAUUAAGAAGAGAGACUGACCUUAAGUGCUGCAUUUGCGUUCAACCUACGAAUACAGUUCUGCUGUCGUACAAUGCAGCAAGAGCUCUCAGUAAGCAUCAUGGAAUGCAAUCAUAUAGACACAGGCACAAGAACAGUUUGGGGAAUAUUAAUUUAAAGAACAAAAAUAAAUCUUCAAACAGAAAAAAACCCCUCACUAUGGAGAAAGCCGAGAGUAACCACUUGACUGCAUCAAGCACCUGGAUCUCAAAUCAGCAGACAAGGACAGUAGAGACAGACUGGCAAGUGUAUUGCCUAUAAAAAAACCCAACCUGAACCAAACAACAACAAAGAAAAAAAAUAAAGAACAUAAGAAAAUAUCUGCGUCUUCCAGUGACAAGUUUUGCUUCUUGCCUGAAGACACAUCUUGUUAUGACUUGUAUUAAGGUAUGUGUAUUUUUACCAGGACGUGCAUUUAUCGAUGGAGCUGUGCUUUGUAAGUCAAACCAGGACACUGUACACAUACAGAGAGGUAACACUUUGCUUCACCAUGUUAUUUCCCUCGCUGGCUGUUCCCGCGGACUAACUGCACUCCAGAUCAGAAGCCAUAACCGCUUCCAGCACGUGCUGUCACACACUGGUGUCUGUUAUUACAAAUCGCCUCCUCAGCUCAUCAUAGAAAGGGGCAGUUGCUCUCUCUGUUUCUCAAUUUUAGGUUUGCAUCACAAGUCCCCAAUUACCCAAGGAGGUAUCCUGAAACAGCUAGCAGUAAAAAUAGGAAAUAAAUCCCUGCCUUUCAGCCUCCUAGAGCCUUCUUUUCUCAAUCAUGAAAAGGACUGAUUUUAGUGUACUGAUUCUUAAUUUGUGAAAACUUGCGCUAAGUGCUGCUGUUGCAUGUUAAGAGACUGUAAAUGAAAUACAUAAGUUCUAAAACAUCAUGCAAGAAAUGUGGUUUCACAUCUUACAGUCAAAAAUCCUACUAAUGAAUUAAUACAAGCACACUGAGGUGUAAUAUUGGGAACAUACCUUUAAAGUCGGAACUCCUCUCCCCAUCCCUCCCUCCCCCAAAAUCAGAAAAGUAAUAUUAAUUAAACUUAAGAAGUAAUGAAUGCACCAUUAAAGUGUCAUCAAAAAGAUGCUGACCUAAGACAAAAGUUCAAUGAUACACAAUACGGUCAAAAAGUCUUCAAUCAAUAAUAUACAGUAUGACAACUACAUCUUGUAAAUUAUACCCAAUACUGCCGGCAGUCUAUCCCUCUAAAGAAUAUUUGCCCCCUUUCAUCCCUUCCUAACAAUCAGAUAAUAAAAUACAGCACCUAUAAAUAAGCAAAAAAAAAAAAAACCAAAAACAAAACAAAAAAUUAUAUAUAUAUAUAUAUUUAUAUAUAUAUAUAUUCCGAAAUCAUCUAUUGUUAGUUUUAAAGAUAUGGCAAUAAAGGAGUCUAAAUUAGCAAACUUGUAGAAGCCAUAACUGAUAAAACAGCUUAUUGAAAAAAGGUGGCAGUAAUGCACUCUAUGUGUGCACAAGUACGUAAGAAAAUACACAGACGUAUAAAAUUGCACGCACACACUCACGCACACACAUCCUUCCACACACCUCUAUGCUCACGCAUAUACAUAUAGACAACAGGAGGAGUUAGAGACAAGUUAGAAUUUGAUUUGUACUUUGAUCAGCCCUAACCUGUGCAUAAGAAAAUGGAAAAAAGGCUGUGUUUCUGCAGGGCAGAAUGGUCUAGACUGGGACUCGAGAGCACGAAGGUUUUGGUUUGGAGUUUGGGCUGUUUCCAUCCUGGUAAGAGCCCAUCUGGUCAUUGCCAUGUACUCUUUAUCCACGCAAAAAUAAGCUUCCCACAACUAAAACGUAUUUAAAAUCAGUGCUUGUGGUGGGAAGAGAGUCAGUAAAUGGCCACCAACAGCAGGAAAAGGUCUCUAUCUGAGGCAGCUCCAGUCCCCUCUUAGUGGUGUGUGUGACAGCAAUCGUACACGUGAACUACGUUUUAAUCGAUUCCAGGUAAGCUGAAUGUUUCGGGAUACGGGAUUCGUCCCGAAGUAGCAGGCUGAAAUGUUACUGGCCAACGUUUUUUGAGCGCUCUGUCUUUACUGAAAGGAAAUUCUGUACACUACGAACCAAGUGAAAUGAUCAAGUACAUGCUGUUUCUAAGUUGUCUCCUAAACCUCCUAGAUAUGAGGUCUGAUCAGCGUGCUCUGUGGUUAGAGGUUAAAAAGCAGAUUAUAAAAUACCUAGAUUCAGAUUUUAUUUUUUUUUGUCCUGAUUUGGCCUAAAAUGGAGUGUAUUAAACAAAUUCUGGUCUGCAAAAGACCAGAAUCAGUUAAAGCUAUGAAACAAUGUGCACUACGUGUCAAUAUUCUAUUUCACUUACAAGAAAACACUAAGUCAGCUACCACAAAUUAAGAUAUUU
RNAcentral lists this long non-coding RNA (4392 nucleotides) under Strigops habroptila (Kakapo). Its description in RNAcentral is "lncRNA (ENSSHBG00005012739.1)". Lineage: Eukaryota; Metazoa; Chordata; Aves; Psittaciformes; Psittacidae. The record is from RNAcentral.